AGGGUUUACCUGGUUUACCGGGACCACCUGGUCCUGUUGGGCUCAGGGGGCCUCCUGGGAUCCGAGGUGGUUAUGGUCCAGAAGGCCAACGUGGACCUGAUGGGGAGCCUGGACUGGAUGGCCUUCUAGGUUUGCUGGGUUCACCGGGUGCGCCGGGCUUUACAGGACGUGUCGGAGCUCAAGGAGUCAAUGGCUCAAGGGGGGACAUAGGCCCUGCUGGCAGUGUCGGCCGCAAAGGCCCACAGGGGCCCCCAGGUUUGGACGGACAGGUGGGUCCUGCAGGACCCAGAGGUCCCCAAG
Molecule: long non-coding RNA, 300 nt
Organism: Entelurus aequoreus (snake pipefish)
Lineage: Eukaryota; Metazoa; Chordata; Actinopteri; Syngnathiformes; Syngnathidae
Exons: 6
Source: RefSeq, a predicted model, not a curated record